RNAcentral lists this ribosomal RNA (258 nucleotides) under uncultured Leptotrichia sp. RNAcentral describes it as "partial 16S ribosomal RNA". It matches the Rfam family "Bacterial small subunit ribosomal RNA", at positions 97 to 354 of the family's 1533-position model. The record is from RNAcentral. Lineage: Bacteria; Fusobacteriati; Fusobacteriota; Fusobacteriia; Fusobacteriales; Leptotrichiaceae.
GGCGGACGGGUGAGUAACGCGUAAAGAACUUGCCCUUUAGACUGGGAUGACAGAGGGAAACUUCUGAUAAUACUGGAUAAGUUAGUAUAUCGCAUGAUAUGCAAAUGAAAGCUACGGCACUAAAGGAGAGCUUUGCGUCCUAUUAGCUAGUUGGUAAGGUAAGAGCUUACCAAGGCGAUGAUAGGUAGCCGGCCUGAGAGGGUGGACGGCCACAAGGGGACUGAGAUACGGCCCUUACUCCUACGGGAGGCAGCAGGU